AAUUCGAAGCAACGCGAAGAACCCUACCAGGUCUUGACAUCCCCUGACAACCCAAGAGGAUUCGGGCGGUUCCCCUUCGGGGGACAGGGUGACAGGUGGUGCAUGGUUGCCGUCAGCUCGUGUCGUGAGAUGUUGGGUUAAGUCCCGCAACGAGCGCAACCCUCGCCUCUAGUUGCCAGCAUUCGGUUGGGCACUCUAGAGGGACUGCCGGCUAAAAGUCGGAGGAAGUGGGGAUGACGUCAAAUCAUCAUGCCCCUUAUGACCUGGGCUACACACGUGCUACAAUGGGCGGUACAAAGGGUCGCGAGCCCGCGAGGGGGAGCCAAUCCCAAAAAGCCGCUCUCAGUUCGGAUUGCAGGCUGCAACUCGCCUGCAUGAAGCCGGAAUCGCUAGUAAUCGCGGAUCAGCAUGCCGCGGUGAAUACGUUCCCGGGCCUU
This 437-nucleotide ribosomal RNA is filed under the name uncultured Anoxybacillus sp. Its description in RNAcentral is "bacterial SSU rRNA". It matches the Rfam family "Bacterial small subunit ribosomal RNA", at positions 948 to 1382 of the family's 1533-position model. The record is from RNAcentral. Lineage: Bacteria; Bacillati; Bacillota; Bacilli; Caryophanales; Anoxybacillaceae.